UUGGAUAUCGCAUCGACGCUCUCCCCCUCAGCACACAUACCUCGCAAAACCUCUCUCCCUUUACACCUUCUUCUCGGCACAUACACACACUCAACAAUCUGUUCCCUAAAUCCUCCAUUUCUCCUAUUUUCUUCUUUGCUCGACUACCCUGUAACUUGAACGCACGACGGCUUUAUCUUCUUCACGAGAUGGACCUAGAGGAUGACACGGUGAUUUUGGGCUUGAUUUGUGAUAAGUUCAAAAACUCCUUUUGCUGCUGAUUCUAGGUAGCAUAUGCGUUGAUCCUCCAUUCUUCUAUUUUCUUCUUUGCUGGAUUGCCUUCGAACCUGACUCCCUUCUAACCUGGAAGCAUGACGGCUUCAUCAUCUUUACGAGACGCACCUAGAGGAUGGCAUGGGGAGAGUUUGGGAAAUGGGUAGCCUUUAUUGCUGUCGUCUUACGGCUUUUCUUUUUGAGACAUUUCCCUGGGUAUGCCUUCUCUAUAUCCACCCUUACCUAAUGGAAACAAUAAUGGAUAUUGUAGUGGAAGGAAAUCAGGAUGAGUUUCCUUGAUCUUGUGUAGUUGCCCUCACUUAUACGGAACUUCUAUGUCCCUGCCACAAUUUGAAUCUCCAAUAUCUCCAACAAUAAGUGCAGCUACUUCAUUUUGUGCCAAGGCAUAUUAUACUAACAUGUGCCAGUUCCUUAUUUAUGUAUGAGCUUAAUUCUUAUCUCGUCUUUCAUUUUUGUUGAUGAAAUCACGAGCUAUGCGGAAAGUUCGAACCAAACGGUUGUGUCUGUCCAGCAUAUUUUGAACAGUGUGCACAAUAUCAAUAUCCACUCGUGGCAUAGUGCCAUCCUAUGUACUGAAACAAAUUAAAAAGCAAUGCAUAUUGCACAUAGUCAGUUUAUAAUAAAGCUGAAUAUAUUCAUGGACUCAA
Neltuma alba is the source of this 920-nucleotide long non-coding RNA. RefSeq lists it as uncharacterized. The transcript is spliced from 3 exons. NCBI's taxonomy places the organism in Eukaryota, Viridiplantae, Streptophyta, Magnoliopsida, Fabales, Fabaceae. The record is from RefSeq and is a predicted model, not a curated record.